GAUGAACGCUGGCGGCGUGCUUAAUACAUGCAAGUCGAACGGACAGGCCCUGCUCUUGUGGGGUGCUCGAGUGGCGAACGGGUGAGUAACACGCGAGUAACCUGCACCUGUCUUUGGGAUAUCUCUAGGAAACUGGGGCUAAUAUCGGAUAGGAGCUCCUGAUGCAUGGUGGGGGAUGGAAAGAUUCGGCGGUUGGGGCUGGACUCGAGGCUUAUCAGCUUGUUGGUGGAGUAGUGGCUUACAAAGGCUUCGACGGGUAGGCGGCCUGAGAGGGUGACCGGCGACAAUGGGACUGAGGGACGGCCCAGACUCCUACCGGAGGCAGCGGUGGAGAGUAUUGCGCAGUGGGCGGGAGCCUGAUACAGCGACGCCGCGAUCGGAAUGACGGCCUUCUGGUGAUAAACCACUUUCGCCUGUGACGAGGCGUGAGUGACGGUAAUGGGUAAGAAAGCACCGGCUAACUACGUG
This 468-nucleotide ribosomal RNA is filed under the name uncultured bacterium. RNAcentral's name for it is "partial 16S ribosomal RNA". It matches the Rfam family "Bacterial small subunit ribosomal RNA", at positions 28 to 507 of the family's 1533-position model. The record is from RNAcentral.